GGGGAGCGGCGGACGGGUGAGUAACGCGUGGGAAUUUUCCUCAAGGUACGGAACAACUCAGGGAAACUUGGGCUAAUACCGUAUGAUGUCUAGCGACCAAAGAUUUAUCGCCUUGGGAUAAGCCCGCGUCAGAUUAGGUAGUUGGUGGGGUAACGGCCUACCAAGCCUGCGAUCUGUAGCUGGUCUGAGAGGACGAUCAGCCACACUGGAACUGAGACACGGCCCAGACUCCUACGGGAGGCAGCAGUGGGGAAUCUUGCGCAAUGGGCGAAAGCCUGACGCAGCCAUGCCGCGUGAAUGAUGAAGGUCUUAGGAUUGUAAAGUUCUUUCGCCCGUGACGAUGAUGACGGUAACGGGAGAAGAAGCCCCGGCUAACUUCGUGCCAGCAGCCGCGGUAAUACGAAGGGGGCUAGCGUUGUUCGGAAUUACUGGGCGUAAAGCGCGCGUAGGCGGUUUUGCAAGCCAGAGGUGAAAUGCCUGAGCUCAACUUAGGAAUUGCCUUUGGGACUGCGAGGCUUUGAGGACUGGAGAGGUGAGUGGAAUUCCCAGUGUAGAGGUGAAAUUCGUAGAUAUUGGGAAGAACACCAGUGGCGAAGGCGGCUCACUGGCCAGUUUCUGACGCUGCAGCGCGAAAGCGUGGGGAUCAAACAGGAUUAGAUACCCUGGUAGUCCACGCUGUAAACGAUGAGUGCUAGGCGUCGGCACGCUUGCGUGUCGGUGCCGCAGCUAACGCGUGAAGCACUCCGCCUGGGGAGUACGGUCGCAAGAUUAAAACUCAAAGGAAUUGACGGGGGCCCGCACAAGCGGUGG
Molecule: ribosomal RNA, 810 nt
Filed under: uncultured bacterium
Lineage: Bacteria
Description: bacterial SSU rRNA
Rfam family: Bacterial small subunit ribosomal RNA
Source: RNAcentral